GCAAGUCGAGCGCGAAAGCACUUCGGUGUGAGUAGAGCGGCGGACGGGUGAGUAACGCGUAAGAAUCUACCUAGUAGUGGGGGACAACUCGAGGAAACUCGAGCUAAUACCGCAUACGCCCUACGGGGGAAAGCGGGGGACCUUCGGGCCUCGCGCUAUUAGAUGAGCUUGCGUUGGAUUAGCUUGUUGGUGGGGUAAUGGCCUACCAAGGCAACGAUCCAUAGCUGGUCUGAGAGGACGACC
RNAcentral lists this ribosomal RNA (243 nucleotides) under uncultured bacterium. RNAcentral describes it as "partial 16S ribosomal RNA". It matches the Rfam family "Bacterial small subunit ribosomal RNA", at positions 57 to 305 of the family's 1533-position model. The record is from RNAcentral.